AGUUUGAUCAUGGCUACAGAACGAACGCUGGCGGCAUGCCUAACACAUGCAAGUCGAACGAAGCCUUCGGGCUUAGUGGCGCACGGGUGCGUAACAUGUGGGAAUCUGCCCUUCGGUUCGGAAUAACAGUUAGAAAUGACUGCUAAUACCGGAUGAUGACGUAAGUCCAAAGAUUUAUCGCCGAAGGAUGAGCCCGCGUAGGAUUAGGUAGUUGGUAGGGUAAUGGCCUACCAAGCCGACGAUCCUUAGCUGGUCUGAGAGGAUGAUCAGCCACACUGGGACUGAGACACGGCCCAGACUCCUACGGGAGGCAGCAGUGGGGAGUAUUGGACAAUGGGCGAAAGCCUGAUCCAGCAAUGCCGCGUGAGUGAUGAAGGCCUUAGGGUUGUAAAGCUCUUUUACCAGGGAUGAUAAUGACAGUACCUGGAGAAUAAGCUCCGGCUAACUCCGUG
This 452-nucleotide ribosomal RNA is filed under the name uncultured bacterium. RNAcentral describes it as "bacterial SSU rRNA". It matches the Rfam family "Bacterial small subunit ribosomal RNA", at positions 10 to 507 of the family's 1533-position model. The record is from RNAcentral.